Long non-coding RNA from Beta vulgaris subsp. vulgaris (sugar beet), 1124 nucleotides. RefSeq lists it as uncharacterized. The transcript has 2 exons. The record is from RefSeq and is a predicted model, not a curated record. Lineage: Eukaryota; Viridiplantae; Streptophyta; Magnoliopsida; Caryophyllales; Amaranthaceae.
UAGAUAAUUAUGAUUAUUAUUUGAAAAUGUUGUUGUAGAGUAUGAGAUUUGGGGUUUAGUUGUUGGUAGGAUUAUUGAUUUUCUUAAGGCUAAAUCCAAAACCAUGUAAUAGGCAAAAUCUGAACCAUUAGAUGAUUAAAAUGCACAUAAGAAAACAAUACAAAGCACAUGGAUCAUCAAUAUUAAUCGUUGGAUACAAACCACAAAAGAAGCUAAACCGUUGGAUCGUCUUCUAACCUAUCACCUUUUCCCUCAUAUCUCUCCAAACCCAUAUUUCCUGCCCAACCUCCCUUCCUAGUUCAUACUUCUCUCAACUCAUGUUAUCAUCUCAAAUGUAGUAUUUUUUCGUCUGUAAAGUCGAGUUUAAGAUGGUGUAAAUUAUGGUUAUAUGAUGAACUUUGUGCUCGUUUGCUUCUUCUGGAUCUCUUUAUUUCUUAGCAAUUUAAUUUUAAAGCUUACAUUUGCAUUUGCACUUGACUGAUAUGAGUCUCAAUGCACCACAAUACAAGAUGUCAAGAUCGAAAAAAAGACGCCAAAGCAGGGCAUCAACGAGUUCAAGAUGGCGCAUCACCGACGGAGGCAUAAGCACCGACAUCUAGCGGUAGCAACGACAGAGCAGCAACAUCGGACAAGAACAGGGGAGAGAGAAAAUUCACAACGCACAACCGACAACGAGCAAGACCUGCCACAGCUCUGACGACCAAACGAAUCGCGGCUUAGCGACUGGUGGUAGGUCCGAGGAACCACCGUAGGUAAGGGCAAACAGGGAGAUGUAUCGAUUUUGAUUUUUCUUCCCUUCCUGCUUCAUUGUUGUUGCCUGCUUCAUUGUUGUUGCCUGCUUCAUUGUUGUUGGAUGAUCUAAAGAGCAGGUUAUGUAGAAGAUUUGAGCUAGAAGUUGAAGAAACAUCUUUCUUGCAAAUUUUUAAGUGAAGAAUGAAGAUGCAAUUUCAAGCACUGAAUUGUUUUUUUCUUUUUUGCCCAAAAUUUCUGUAAAUUACUUUAUUGUAGAUUCAUUAUUUAAUUUUCUGGAUGUAAAGUUAAAAAAUCAAUUCAAAUUUGCUGUAACUUUUAGUUCAUUGUAUAUGCUUUAACGUUUACUUCAAUAAGAAUGAAUUUCAUAUUCA